RNAcentral lists this long non-coding RNA (1074 nucleotides) under Gossypium barbadense (sea-island cotton). RNAcentral describes it as "long non-coding RNA (GBAR_LNC013063)". Lineage: Eukaryota; Viridiplantae; Streptophyta; Magnoliopsida; Malvales; Malvaceae. The record is from RNAcentral.
UCCCCGUAAACUGUGCAUGGCAUUUAUUGAUAUAUAUUAUUCUCUCUCCUAAAAAGACAGACUAUGUGUGUAAACUUAAAAUAUAGGGUAUAGCAUUUAUUAUACCCUUUUUUUUUUUCAUUUAUUUGAAACGGUUUUUUUCCUCUUCUAUCAUCGUCAUCAUUCUUCCAUGUCUAUCUCUUCUCUCUCAUCUUUGCAAAUCAAAGUUAUUUUUUUCUUUUUCUUUUUUUCUCUCUUAUCAGUUCUCACCCACCGCCAUGUCCACUUUUCACCAGAUCUGAUCCGAAUCCCACGUCGGAUCAUGUCAACACAGGUAUGGCACCCCAAACUGCCAAAUCCGGCUAAGGAAGUUUCUCACUAGCCAAAAUGUAAUAAUCCUUUCUACUAUAUCUCCAAUUAAUAAAACCACUUUUUCUACCUGUUCCUAUCCUCCUCCUUUUUGUUUAGGUCCUAAAAGGAGAAAAUAUUUUUUCAAAUUAAGUUAAAAUGAAAUUAUAUGCAAAGUAAUACGGGCAUCAGAAUGAAAUUGCACUCAAUAAAAAUUUCACAUGCUACAAACAACUGAAAAUGGAGUUCUUAGUUUUAUGCUUAAGAGAAUGAAGAAAGUAAAAUCUCUUAAAACAAGCAAAGGCCUCCCAAACAAUAUCAAUAGAUGUGGUAAAAUGAAAUGCAUGUUUAACCAAGACGCACAUGAAAGUUACCUAGCAAACAACACUGACAUAACAUCUUUCGUAUUCUAGAUUUGAAAUGUAUAUAUAUAUUUAACAUGAACUUCAAAUAAUAUCUAGCUGCCCAUCUUCAUUUUCAUUAAUGUUCAUGUCCAACCUUACAGUGCUAGCUUACACAACCCAAAACAUGAAAAAAAUCAACUUGCUAAUAGAUGUGUACCGCAAUUAAAGCAUCAAGAACUCAAUCGGAGAAAGGUGAUCAAAUGAACUUACCAAGUUCUCUACCAAGCCUCCAGGCAUUUGACAGUGAAUAAGAAAAUUACAAAAAUGGAAAGAAAGGAAAUGGGAUAGGGAGAAGAGAGGGGAGUAAAUUUGAACUACCAAGUACCAGCUAUAAAUAGCAUAC